CGGACACGAUGUCGACUUGGAGGUUGUGCCCUUGAGGCGUGGCUUCCGGAGCUAACGCGUUAAGUCGACCGCCUGGGGAGUACGGCCGCAAGGUUAAAACUCAAAUGAAUUGACGGGGGCCCGCACAAGCGGUGGAGCAUGUGGUUUAAUUCGAUGCAACGCGAAGAACCUUACCUGGUCUUGACAUCCACGGAAGUUUUCAGAGAUGGAAAGGUGCCUUCGGGAACCGUGAGACAGGUGCUGCAUGGCUGUCGUCAGCUCGUGUUGUGAAAUGUUGGGUUAAGUCCCGCAACGAGCGCAACCCUUAUCCUUUGUUGCCAGCGGUCCGGCCGGGAACUCAAAGGAGACUGCCAGUGAUAAACUGGAGGAAGGUGGGGAUGACGUCAAGUCAUCAUGGCCCUUACGACCAGGGCUACACACGUGCUACAAUGGCGCAUACAAAGAGAAGCGACCUCGCGAGAGCAAGCGGACCUCAUAAAGUGCGUCGUAGUCCGGAUUGGAGUCUGCAACUCGACUCCAUGAAGUCGGAAUCGCUAGUAAUCGUGGAUCAGAAUGCCACGGUGAAUACGUUCCCGGGCCUUGUACACACCGCCCGUCACACCAUGGGAGUGGGUUGCAAAAGAAGUAGGUAGCUUAACCUUCGGGAGGGCGCUUACCACUUUGUGAUUCAUGACUGGGGUGAAGUCGUACAGGGAAAACCCGUAAAAUGGUCCACAAAGGGUUUUUAGAGGUGGAACGGUGGUGGUCAAACGGGGGUACUAUCUUCCCCCCGGUUUCCCCCAAAAUUUCUAACUUUUUCAGCGCUUCCGCGAGAUAUUCACCCCCCCUUGAAGAAUUCUAUGUGCCAUUAUAAGAGAUGUCCGAGAUGACGCGGAGUAUAUCUUAUCUAUUUAAACACCUGAUGCGUGCUCUGACCGCUAUAUCUCUAAUAACGUGAGCCCCUUCGUAUACGUGCUGUCGGCAGAUCAGCGGUCUCUUGCUGAGUACCUAAGAAAGGUUACUAUUCUCCUCUCCGCGUGUGAGUUUUAGACCAGAGCUUUUCACGAUGUUGUACGUGUCCGCUGAUGAUCC
RNAcentral lists this ribosomal RNA (1071 nucleotides) under Escherichia coli. Its description in RNAcentral is "bacterial SSU rRNA". The stretch from base 1 to 708 matches the Rfam family "Bacterial small subunit ribosomal RNA", at positions 801 to 1533 of the family's 1533-position model. Lineage: Bacteria; Pseudomonadati; Pseudomonadota; Gammaproteobacteria; Enterobacterales; Enterobacteriaceae. The record is from RNAcentral.